Molecule: ribosomal RNA, 253 nt
Filed under: uncultured bacterium
Lineage: Bacteria
Description: partial 16S ribosomal RNA
Rfam family: Bacterial small subunit ribosomal RNA
Source: RNAcentral
UACGGGGGGAGCAAGCGUUGUUCGGAUUUACUGGCGUAAAGGGCGCGUAGGCGGCCACCGCAAGUCGACUGUGAAAUCUCCGGGCUUAACCCGGAACGGUCAGCCGAUACUGCGGGGCUAGAGUGCAGAAGGGGCAACUGGAAUUCUCGGUGUAGCGGUGAAAUGCGUAGAUAUCGAGAGGAACACCUGCGGCGAAGGCGGGUUGCUGGGCUGACACCGACGCUGAUGUGCGAAAGCUAGGGGAGCGAACGGG